GUCUUCGUGGUGUAAUGGUCAGCACACUGAGCCGGUAAUUCAGAGGUCCGCGGUUCGAUCCCCGGCGAAGGCA
Molecule: non-coding RNA, 73 nt
Organism: Stegodyphus mimosarum
Lineage: Eukaryota; Metazoa; Arthropoda; Arachnida; Araneae; Eresidae
Source: Rfam